UCUACCUAGUAGUACGGAAUAAUUGUUGGAAACGGCAACUAAUACCGUAUACGCCCUACGGGGGAAAAAUUUAUUGCUAUUAGAUGAGCCUAUAUUAGAUUAGCUAGUUGGUGGAGUAAUAGCCUACCAAGGCAAUGAUCUAUAGCUGAUCUGAGAGGAUGAUCAGCCACACUGGAACUGAGAUACGGUCCAGACUCCUACGGGAGGCAGCAGUGGGGAAUAUUGGACAAUGGGCGAAAGCCUGAUCCAGCCAUGCCGCAUGAGUGAAGAAGGCCUUUGGGUUGUAAAGCUCUUUUAGUGAGGAAGAUAAUGACGGUACUCACAGAAGAAGUCCUGGCUAACUCCGUGCCAGCAGCCGCGGUAAUACGGAGAGGGCUAGCGUUAUUCGGAAUUACUGGGCGUAAAGGGCGCGUAGGCUGAUUAAUAAGUUAAAAGUGAAAUCCCGAGGCUUAACCUUGGAAUUGCUUUUAAAACUAUUAAUCUAGAGAUUGAAAGAGGAUAGAGGAAUUCCUGAUGUAGAGGUAAAAUUCGUAAAUAUUAGGAGGAACACCAGUGGCGAAGGCGUCUAUCUGGUUCAAAUCUGACGCUGAAGCGCGAAGGCGUGGGGAGCAAACAGGAUUAGAUACCCUGGUAGUCCACGCUGUAAACGAUGAAUGUUAAAUAUGGGAAGUUUACUUUCUGUAUUACAGCUA
Molecule: ribosomal RNA, 692 nt
Filed under: Wolbachia endosymbiont of Bemisia tabaci
Lineage: Bacteria; Pseudomonadati; Pseudomonadota; Alphaproteobacteria; Rickettsiales; Anaplasmataceae
Description: bacterial SSU rRNA
Rfam family: Bacterial small subunit ribosomal RNA
Source: RNAcentral